UUUCAAUUUGUAUUGUAUAUUUCAAUUUCGAGAGUAAUAUGCUAUCGGUAAGUAUAUUUUUCCUUCCAUAUUUACAUACUUCCAAAAACACCUUUUCCCUAAUUUUUUUUGUUUAUUUUUCAUCCCUUAUCUUCAAAUUCCUUUCAAUUUCUUCCUUUGUUUUCUUCACCAAAUUUCUCUAAAUCUCUUCAAUGGUGGGUCUUGAUAUAAAAA
This 213-nucleotide long non-coding RNA is filed under the name Lathyrus oleraceus (garden pea). RNAcentral's name for it is "Pisum sativum (pea) long non-coding RNA (PSAT_LNC020570)". The record is from RNAcentral. Lineage: Eukaryota; Viridiplantae; Streptophyta; Magnoliopsida; Fabales; Fabaceae.